This is a long non-coding RNA of Homo sapiens (human), 859 nucleotides long. Ensembl annotates it as SOX2 overlapping transcript. Its record names the gene SOX2-OT. NCBI's taxonomy places the organism in Eukaryota, Metazoa, Chordata, Mammalia, Primates, Hominidae. The record is from Ensembl.
GGGGACGCGGAGGAGAAGGAAAGUCGCUCAAGCAGUGGACAGAGCGGAGAAAGCGACUUCGGGUUGGUUGAAGGGUCUGCUGGAGUUUGCUGGAGGUGCACUCCAGACUCUGUUUGCCUGCCUAUCACCAACAGAGGCUGCAGAACAGCAAAGAUUGCUGUCUGUAACUUCCUCUGGAAGCUUCAUCCCAGAGGGGCACCUGCCAGAUGCCAGCCGGAGCUCUCCUCUAUGAGUUCAGCCUGAGAAAACUCCUGAGCAUGUGCGAAAAAGAAAAGAAGAAAAGAAAAGUAAAGAAAAGAAAAAAGGAAAAAGGGCAAGCUCCUGAGUGGAUCUCUCAGGGAGCCACCAGACAGUGAAUGAAGGAGGGAAGAAAGGAGAGACAGAGAAAAUAUGGGAAGUAUGCAGCUGGCAUCAGAAGCUGGAAGAUAGGAUCUUCCCGGAUCACAGCUCCUGUUCAGAAAGUCUGAGGAUGUCAGACUGAGACUGUUGAGUCUGAGGAUGUCAGACUGAGAUUGUUGAGUCUCAGGAUGUUGCAGGACAGGAUGGAUGAAGAAUGCUAGUCCUGGCAGUUGGGGCCUAAGGCCAGGGCCCUUUUUUAUCACUUUCUUGUGUUGCCUCUCUGCCCAAGAAAAAAUCUGUCUCUUGCAUACAGCUCCUCUAAUACGUGUCCAUUAGAAGGAAGGAGUUUCUUUAAUGAGCUCUAUGGUUUUAUCUUGCUCAUAACAGCUUAGUUUAAUGCCACUGAAACUGUAACAUUUUUUUGUGCCUAAUAUCAACUGACAAAUAUAAAGUUAUUCCUAAUUUAUUAAUUCAAAUGAUAUAUUGCAAAAUAAAAUCUGCUUAAUAUGAAAAGAAGUAA